GAAUACAUCUGGAAGAUUUUUUUUUUCAUCAAGAAGAAGAUGUCGCAGCCUGCUCCAAAAGUUGCAUAAUAAAGUAAACCAUCAAACAUCAGCUGAUUCAGAUCAUCAAUUUCAAGUACCUGGCUGAGAAAGUCUCACCUUUUAUUUCGGUACACUAACGUGUAAAUAUAAAUAUUGUAAUUAAAUAAAAAAACUAAGUAUAAUUGAUAAAGAAGAAAAGUGUAAUUUGUGACAAUGAUUGAUCACUCGGUUCUUGUAAUCUGUGCCCUGGUCGCUAACACUAUUUGGCUGUUUACCAUGGAUUUUGAUCACGGUCGUCGAGAUAACUUUGGUCCAUAUCCUCGUGGAGGACCACAUAAAAAACCUAAGGAUUCAAUCUUAGCUGGAAACCACUUGAGAUAUUUCUCAUCGAGAGAAUGAAAAUUUUUAUAAAAAUAAUAAUCAAUAAUAAAAACGAA
This 458-nucleotide long non-coding RNA is filed under the name Cotesia glomerata. RNAcentral describes it as "uncharacterized LOC123267511, transcript variant X3". Lineage: Eukaryota; Metazoa; Arthropoda; Insecta; Hymenoptera; Braconidae. The record is from RNAcentral.